GACGAACGCUGGCGGCGUGCCUAAUACAUGCAAGUAGAACGCUGAAGGAGGAGCUUGCUUCUCUGGAUGAGUUGCGAACGGGUGAGUAACGCGUAGGUAACCUGCCUGGUAGCGGGGGAUAACUAUUGGAAACGAUAGCUAAUACCGCAUAAGAGUAGAUGUUGCAUGACAUUUGCUUAAAAGGUGCAAUUGCAUCACUACCAGAUGGACCUGCGUUGUAUUAGCUAGUUGGUGGGGUAACGGCUCACCAAGGCGACGAUACAUAGCCGACCUGAGAGGGGGAUCGGCCACACUGGGACGGAGACACGGCCCAGACUCCGACGGGAGGCAGCAGUAGGGAAUCAUCGGCAAUGGACGGAAGGCUGACCGGGCAACGCCGCGUGAGUGAAGAAGGGUUUCGGAUCGUAAAGCUCUGUUGUAAGGGAAGAACGAGUGUGAGAGUGGAAAGGUCACUCUGUGACGGUAGCUUACCAGAAAGGGACGGCUAACUACGUGC
RNAcentral lists this ribosomal RNA (496 nucleotides) under uncultured bacterium. Its description in RNAcentral is "partial 16S ribosomal RNA". It matches the Rfam family "Bacterial small subunit ribosomal RNA", at positions 28 to 508 of the family's 1533-position model. The record is from RNAcentral.